GGCGUGGAGCAGUCUGGUAGCUCGUCGGGCUCAUAACCCGGAGGUCGCUGGUUCAAAUCCAGCCCCCGCCACCA
This 74-nucleotide transfer RNA is filed under the name Synergistales bacterium. RNAcentral describes it as "tRNA-Met". It matches the Rfam family "tRNA". From Rfam's summary of the family: Transfer RNA (tRNA) molecules are approximately 80 nucleotides in length. Their secondary structure includes four short double-helical elements and three loops (D, anti-codon, and T loops). Further hydrogen bonds mediate the characteristic L-shaped molecular structure. tRNAs have two regions of fundamental functional importance: the anti-codon, which is responsible for specific mRNA codon recognition, and the 3' end, to which the tRNAs corresponding amino acid is attached (by aminoacyl-tRNA synthetases). tRNAs cope with the degeneracy of the genetic code in two manners: having more than one tRNA (with a specific anti-codon) for a particular amino acid; and 'wobble' base-pairing, i.e. permitting non-standard base-pairing at the 3rd anti-codon position. Lineage: Bacteria; Thermotogati; Synergistota; Synergistia; Synergistales. The record is from RNAcentral.